GGGGAUGUAGCUCAUUGGUAGAGUGGUUGCCUAGCAUGUACAAGGUCCUGAGUUCAAUACCCAGUACCCCCA
This 72-nucleotide transfer RNA is filed under the name Cavia porcellus (domestic guinea pig). It matches the Rfam family "tRNA". From Rfam's summary of the family: Transfer RNA (tRNA) molecules are approximately 80 nucleotides in length. Their secondary structure includes four short double-helical elements and three loops (D, anti-codon, and T loops). The record is from Rfam by way of RNAcentral. Lineage: Eukaryota; Metazoa; Chordata; Mammalia; Rodentia; Caviidae.